CUGGGACUGAGACACGGCCCAGACUCCUACGGGAGGCAGCAGUGGGGAAUAUUGGACAAUGGGCGGAAGCCUGAUCCAGCCAUGCCGCGUGUGUGAAGAAGGCCUUUUGGUUGUAAAGCACUUUAAGCGAGGAGGAGGCUCCUUUAGUUAAUACCUAAAGUGAGUGGACGUUACUCGCAGAAUAAGCACCGGCUAACUCUGUGCCAGCAGCCGCGGUAA
RNAcentral lists this ribosomal RNA (219 nucleotides) under uncultured bacterium. RNAcentral's name for it is "partial 16S ribosomal RNA". It matches the Rfam family "Bacterial small subunit ribosomal RNA", at positions 313 to 523 of the family's 1533-position model. The record is from RNAcentral.